CACACAUACAAUCUGCACAAAUCCUAGGUGGAAUUUUUUGAAUUAAUUUGCUUCUUUUGGCCAUGAAUUCGAAUUUGCUUUCCCUCUAAUUCAUCACUUCGCUUAUUGGGCCAUAAGCAACAGUCCAGUCCAACAAGCCCAUAUAAGCCCGGUCCGGAUUGAACAAAAUAAUUAAAAAAACGCAUGCGUUGGAAGACAUAUCAUGUACACCAGUGAGAAGUCGUUUUCGCAAAGCCAUUCCGCAGAACUCAUCUUCUUCUUUUGGAUAGGGAUUUUGAAACCAUUUUGAAAUCCAAAAAGUUUCAGCAUCUUAUCGAUGCAACAUCUGCUUCUCCCUCUGUCAUCGCGAGAGAAAUACCAUUUUUAUCCCUUCACUCUCUUCAAAUCCUCUCUAAUUUGAGUUUGGUCAAUACAUUAAGAUUUGAUUUCCCUCCAAAGGGAUAAGAUUGUAUCAAGAGGUAAAAAGUAAUUUCGAAAUUCACUUUCAGAUUCUCCCGCCUUGAUUUUCAAUCGAUUUAUUCAUUUUAUUAUUGAAAUAGGGUUAGAUGGUGAGUCUAUUUAAGCAGUUAUUGAGUUUAGAGUCUCAGCCACACCAAACAAAUUCAAAACCUUCUUUCCUCGUCUGUUGUUUUUAUUACUUUUUUCAAUCACUAUUUAAUUUUUGAAAUAAAAAAAAAAUUGUUUUUAGUUGAAAAUGGCUUUUAUUUAAUUACAUAUUUAUUAGGAUUUGUUUCUAUGUUUUAGUUAAUAAUCCCUACCUUUUAGGAGUUGUUAGUGGGAUUUAGAUGGUUUUCUCCACCACAGUAUGAUUGAUUUGUUUUUGUUAAAUUUUAGAUUUUGUUUUUUUAGAUUUGUAUCAAUUUUUUUUUAUGAUAAUAAUCUUAUUUGCAAAAACACCAGUAUGAUAAUAACAAGCUCGAAAUUUCCUUCCAAUUCCAUUUGUAAAAACACCAAAACCUAUGGUAGGAGGAAGAAGAUGACCGAGAUUCAAGGAUUUGGAGGAAAUAAAGCUACUUAUGGAAGAACUGAAGAAGAUUUUGGUUAUUCUCAUAAAAGUAACAUUGUGAUAUAAAAUAUUUUGGUUUUUGUUUGUUCAUUUAGAUUGACAUAAAUAGAUCUUCUGUGUAUGUUUUUAGGUGUUUUUCGAAAAAAAGAACCUAUGAGUGGCCAUGAAGUUGUUCUCAAGAUGAUUCAUAUGUUGACAUCUAUAUCAGUACAAUUGAACUGGACUUUGUAAGCAUUCACAUCCACCACUUAACCUUUGUAAUGCUUGAUUUUGGGUUUGAACUAAAAGGCAACAAGAAUGUAUUGGUGGAGUUUCACAGUGGCUUUAUGAACAAUAGAGAAAGAAAUGGUGACGGGUUCUACUAACCGAACUUAAUUCAAGGUUUUUCAUUUUACUUGAGAAGAGACUUUUGGUUGUGGAAAAAGGCCUUGCUACACCGCUGCUACAAAUAUCAGCUACAACUGCAGAAGUGAGAGAUGAUGGAGUUUGAAUGGUCACAUUUAGGUAAGUUGAACUUUUUUUGGCUUUGUCAGUUUAUGUUAACCUCAAACAGUCACAAAGAUGAACAUUUGAAUUCACGUGGUUCAAGAAAACUCAUUGAUUGAAAUGCUAUAUUGUUUUUGAUAUGUUGAAUUAGAAUUUUUAUAAUCUGGUUUUCUUGCUUUUUAUAAUAUAUUUGUUCUGUUAUGCUCCUUUCACUUGAAAAAAUGUCUUA
Molecule: RNA transcript, 1721 nt
Organism: Trifolium pratense (red clover)
Lineage: Eukaryota; Viridiplantae; Streptophyta; Magnoliopsida; Fabales; Fabaceae
Exons: 5
Source: RefSeq, a predicted model, not a curated record